CAUGCAGUCGAGCGGAACGAGUUAUCUGAACCUUCGGGGAACGAUAACGGCGUCGAGCGCGGACGGGUGAGUAAUGCCUAGGAAAUUGCCCUGAUGUGGGGGAUAACCAUUGGAAACGAUGGCUAAUACCGCAUGAUGCCUACGGGCCAAAGAGGGGGACCUUCGGGCCUCUCGCGUCAGGAUAUGCCUWGGUGGGAUUAGCUAGUUGGUGAGGUAAGGGCUCACCAAGGCGACGAUCCCUAGCUGGUCUGAGAGGAUGAUCAGCCACACUGGAACUGAGACACGGUCCAGACUCCUACGGGAGGCAGCAGUGGGGAAUAUUGCACAAUGGGCGCAAGYCUGAUGCAGCC
RNAcentral lists this ribosomal RNA (350 nucleotides) under Vibrio neocaledonicus. Its description in RNAcentral is "bacterial SSU rRNA". It matches the Rfam family "Bacterial small subunit ribosomal RNA", at positions 54 to 392 of the family's 1533-position model. Lineage: Bacteria; Pseudomonadati; Pseudomonadota; Gammaproteobacteria; Vibrionales; Vibrionaceae. The record is from RNAcentral.